RNAcentral lists this ribosomal RNA (999 nucleotides) under Triticum aestivum (bread wheat). RNAcentral's name for it is "partial small subunit ribosomal RNA". Lineage: Eukaryota; Viridiplantae; Streptophyta; Magnoliopsida; Poales; Poaceae. The record is from RNAcentral.
AUGGCGAAGUGGACCUGUGGCGCGGCGGCGGGGGAAGGGGUCGUUGGCGCGCAGGGCAGCGGCCGCGGUGGGACGUGGGGGCGGCGGCCGCGGCUGGAUCUGGGCGUGAUGGCCAUGGCUAGAGCUGGGGCGGCGGCCGCGGCGGGAGGUGGCGGGGGCAGCCAUGACGGGCGGUGGCGGUCGCGGUGCGGAGACGGGUUAGCAUUUGAGGGAGGAAGAUGGGGGAGGGGAUCGGCGGCGGCUGCGAGGGCGAGGGCAACGGCGAGGGGAUCUGGUGUGGUGUCGCUCGAGGGCACCUGGAGGCUUCGCCCGUCGCUCGCUCGUUCGCACGUUGCCAGUCCAAGACGGGGAUGUGAUGCUUCUGUUCUCCUGGACGCAACUCCUUUCUCCCCCAGCGAGAAGGAUGUGGAGCCGAACGCCUCCCUCACCGGCUAUACCGUCAUCGACGACAUCAAGUCCGCGCUCGAGCACGACUGCCCGGCAACCGUCUCUUGCGCUGAUGUUAUCGCCCUGGCGUCCCGCGACGCCGUCGCCCUGCUCAGAGGUCCCACCUGGAGUGUGCCCUUCGGCCGCAAGGACUCACGCUUCGCCGCCAACCCGGAGUCCACCAAGAAGGGCCUCCCGAGCCCGCACAACAACCUCGGCGAGCUCAUCACCAUGUUUUCAAGGCUCAACCUCGACGCGCGUGACAUGACCGCGCUCUCCGGUGCCCACACCGUCGGGAUGGCCAACUGCAUGCACUACAGCGACCGCGUCUACGGCGCCGAUCGCGAUGAGGAGAUCGAUACUUUGCACAAACCAUGCAGCAGUCGUGCCAGGGUCCUUCUGACUCUCUACGGCGGUGGAGGCCUGCAUGACAAUCUCGUGGAGAUGUACGGCGCCAACGGUGAGGCGUUCACGAGGGACUUCGCCAAGGCCAUGGUGAAAAUGGGAAACGUUCCUCCGCCCAUGGGAAUGCCCGUGGAGGUGAGGCUCAAGUGCUCCAUGGCCAACUAUUGA